CCUACGGGAGGCAGCAGUGAGGAAUAUUGGUCAAUGGUCGGGAGACUGAACCAGCCAAGCCGCGUGAGGGAUGAAGGUACAGAGUAUCGUAAACCUCUUUUGUCAGGGAACAAAGGCGGGGACGUGUCCCCGGAUGAGUGUACCUGAAGAAAAAGCAUCGGUUAACUCCGUGCCAGCAGCCGCGGUAAUACGGUGGAUGCGAGCGUUAUCGGGAUUUAUUGGGUUUAAAGGGUGGGCAGGCGGUCUGUUCAGUCAGCGGUCAAAGCCCGGGGCUCAACCCCGGCCCGCCGUUGAAACUGGGGAGCUUGAGUGGGCGAGAAGUAUGCGGAAUGCGUGGUGUAGCGGUGAAAUGCAUAGAUAUCACGCAGAACUCCGAUUGCGAAGGCAGCAUACCGGCGCCCGACUGACGCUGAGGCACGAAAGCGUGGGGAUCGAACAGGAUUAGAUACCCUUGUAGUC
This 459-nucleotide ribosomal RNA is filed under the name uncultured bacterium. RNAcentral describes it as "partial 16S ribosomal RNA". It matches the Rfam family "Bacterial small subunit ribosomal RNA", at positions 338 to 795 of the family's 1533-position model. The record is from RNAcentral.